This 326-nucleotide ribosomal RNA is filed under the name uncultured bacterium. Its description in RNAcentral is "bacterial SSU rRNA". It matches the Rfam family "Bacterial small subunit ribosomal RNA", at positions 28 to 359 of the family's 1533-position model. The record is from RNAcentral.
GAUGAACGCUGGCGGCGUGCAUAACACAUUCCAAGUCGGAACGAGGUAGCAAUACCUAGUGGCGGACGGGUGAGUAACCGCGUGAGCAACCUGCCCUUGUGUGGGGGAUACCGUCUGGAAACGGACGUUAAUACCGGCAUAACGUUACGGAAUCGCAUGGUUCCUGUAACCAAAGAUUUAUUGCGCAAAGGGAUGGGCUCGCGUUGGAUUAGAUAGUUGGUGAGGUAACGGCCCACAAGUCUGCGAUCCAUAGCCGGACUGAGAGGUUGAACGGCCACAUUGGAACUGAGAUACGGUCCAGACUCCUACGGGAGGCAGCAGUGGGG